GAUGAACGCUGGCGGCGUGCCUAAUACAUGCAAGUCGAGCGAACAGACGAGGAGCUUGCUCCUUCGACGUUAGCGGCGGACGGGUGAGUAACACGUAGGUAACCUACCUAUAAGACUGGGAUAACUUCGGGAAACCGGAUCUAAUACCGGAUAAUAUUUCGAACCGCAUGGUUCGAUAGUGAAAGAGGUCUUUGCUAUCACUUAUAGAUGGACCUGCGCCGUAUUAGCUAGUUGGUAAGGUAACGGCUUACCAAGGCAACGAUACGUAGCCGACCUGAGAGGGUGAUCGGCCACACUGGAACUGAGACACGGUCCAGACUCCUACGGGAGGCAGCAGUAGGGAAUCUUCCGCAAUGGGCGAAAGCCUGACGGAGCAACGCCGCGUGAGUGAUGAAGGUCUUCGGAUCGUAAAACUCUGUUAUUAGGGAAGAACAAACGUGUAAGUAACUGUGCACGUCUUGACGGUACCUAAUCAGAAAGCCACGGCUAACUACGUG
This 497-nucleotide ribosomal RNA is filed under the name uncultured bacterium. Its description in RNAcentral is "partial 16S ribosomal RNA". It matches the Rfam family "Bacterial small subunit ribosomal RNA", at positions 28 to 507 of the family's 1533-position model. The record is from RNAcentral.